Molecule: transfer RNA, 60 nt
Filed under: Paroedura oviceps
Lineage: Eukaryota; Metazoa; Chordata; Lepidosauria; Squamata; Gekkonidae
Description: tRNA-Ser
Source: RNAcentral
GAAGAUGAUUCUACUACUUUGCUAAAUUAGUUAAUCCAGUACUGACCUGCUGGCAUCCUC